GGGUGCGAGCGUUAUCCGGGAAUUAUUGGGCGUAAAGAGCUCGUAGGCGGUUUGUCGCGUCUGUCGUGAAAGUCCGGGGCUUAACCCCGGAUCUGCGGUGGGUACGGGCAGACUAGAGUGCAGUAGGGGAGACUGGAAUUCCUGGUGUAGCGGUGGAAUGCGCAGAUAUCAGGAGGAACACCGAUGGCGAAGGCAGGUCUCUGGGCUGUAACUGACGCUGAGGAGCGAAAGCAUGGGGAGCGAACAGGAUUAGAUACCCUGGUAGUCCAUGCCGUAAACGUUGGGCACUAGGUGUGGGGACCAUUCCACGGUUUCCGCGCCGCAGCUAACGCAUUAAGUGCCCCGCCUGGGGAGUACGGCCGCAAGGCUAAAACUCAAAGGAAUUGACGGGGGCCCGCACAAGCGGCGGAGCAUGCGGAUUAAUUCGAUGCAACGCGAAGAACCUUACCAAGGCUUGACAUGUUCUCGAUCGCCGUAGAGAUACGGUUUCCCCUUUGGGGCGGGUUCACAGGUGGUGCAUGGUUGUCGUCAGCUCGUGUCGUGAGAUGUUGGGUUAAGUCCCGCAACGAGCGCAACCCUCGUUCCAUGUUGCCAGCACGUAGUGGUGGGGACUCAUGGGAGACUGCCGGGGUCAACUCGGAGGAAGGUGAGGACGACGUCAAAUCAUCAUGCCCCUUAUGUCUUGGGCUUCACGCAUGCUACAAUGGCCGGUACAAUGGGUUGCGAUACUGUGAGGUGGAGCUAAUCCCAAAAAGCCGGUCUCAGUUCGGAUUGGGGUCUGCAACUCGACCCCAUGAAGUCGGAGUCGCUAGUAAUCGCAGAUCAGCAACGCUGCGGUGAAUACGUUCCCGGGCCUUGUACACACCGCCCGUCAAGUCACGAAAGUCGGUAACACCCGAAGCCGGUGGCCUAACCCUUGUGGGGGGAGCCGUCGAAGGUGGGACCAGCGA
This 950-nucleotide ribosomal RNA is filed under the name Micrococcus sp. JSM 113003. Its description in RNAcentral is "bacterial SSU rRNA". It matches the Rfam family "Bacterial small subunit ribosomal RNA", at positions 530 to 1474 of the family's 1533-position model. The record is from RNAcentral. Lineage: Bacteria; Bacillati; Actinomycetota; Actinomycetes; Micrococcales; Micrococcaceae.